CUGGUUGAUCCUGCCAGAGGCUACUGCUAUCGGGGUCCGACUAAGCCAUGCGAGUUGAGAGGGGUAAGCCCUCGGCAUAUUGCUCAGUAACACGCGGAUAACCUGCCCUUGGGUUUGGGAUAACCCCGGGAAACUGGGACUAAUACCGGAUAGAUCAAAGAUACUGGAAUGUUCUUUGGUCGAAAGCUCCGGCGCCCAAGGAUGGGUCUGCGGCCUAUCAGGUAGUAGUGGGUGUAACGUACCUACUAGCCUACGACGGGUAAGGGUUGUGAGAGCAAGAGCCCUGAGAUGGAUUCUGAGACAUGAAUCCAGGCCCUACGGGGUGCAGCAGGCGCGAAAACUUUACACUGCGGGAAACCGCGAUAAGGGGACCCCGAGUGCCAGCACCUAGUGCUGGCUGUCCAGCUGUUCAAAAAACAGUUGUUAGCAAGGGCCGGGCAAGACCGGUGCCAGCCGCCGCGGUAACACCGGCGGCCCGAGUGGUAGCCGUUAUUAUUGGGUUUAAAGGGUCCGUAGCCGGCCUAUUAAGUCUCUUGGGAAAUCUGGCGACUCAAUCGUCAGGCGUUCAAGAGAUACUGGUAGGCUUGGGACCGGGAGAGGUGGGAGGUACUCCAGGGGUAGGGGUGAAAUCUCGUAAUCCUUGGGGGACCACCGAUGGCGAAGGCAUCCCACCAGAACGGGUCCGACGGUGAGGGACGAAAGCUGGGGGCACGAACCGGAUUAGAUACCCGGGUAGUCCCAGCCGUAAACGAUGCUCGCUAGGUGUCAGGUGCGGUGCGACCGCAUCUGGUGCCGCAGUGAAAACUUGAAGCGAGUCACCUGGGAAGUACGGUCGCAAGGCUGAAACUUAAAGGAAUUGGCGGGGGAGCACUACAACGGGUGGAGCCUGCGGUUCAAUUGGAUUCAACGCCGGA
RNAcentral lists this ribosomal RNA (914 nucleotides) under uncultured archaeon. Its description in RNAcentral is "bacterial SSU rRNA". It matches the Rfam family "Archaeal small subunit ribosomal RNA", at positions 4 to 922 of the family's 1478-position model. The record is from RNAcentral.